Molecule: ribosomal RNA, 1500 nt
Filed under: metagenome
Description: bacterial SSU rRNA
Rfam family: Bacterial small subunit ribosomal RNA
Source: RNAcentral
AGAGUUUGAUCCUGGCUCAGAACGAACGCUGGUGGCAUGCCUAAUACAUGCAAGUCGAACGAGAAAGUACCUUCGGGUGCGAGUAGAGUGGCGCACGGGUGAGUAACGCGUAGGUGAUAUGCCUAUUAGUGUGGGACAACAUCGUGAAAACGGUGCUAAUACCGCAUAAGCUUGGUGAAAUUGAAAAAACCAAGGAAAGGGGGCUUCGGCUCUCGCUAAUAGAUUGGCCUGCGUAGCAUUAGCUUGUUGGUGGGGUAAUGGCCUACCAAGCCACGAUGCUUAACUGGUCUGAGAGGAUGAUCAGUCACACUGGAACUGAGACACGGUCCAGACUCCUACGGGAGGCAGCAGUAGGGAAUAUUGCGCAAUGGGGGAAACCCUGACGCAGCAAUGCCACGUGAGUGAGGAAGGUCUUCGGAUUGUAAAGCUCUGUCCUAUAGGAAGAACUGCCAUUGGGUUAAUACCCCUUUGGUUUGACGGUACUAUAGAAGAAAGCACCGGCUAACUCCGUGCCAGCAGCCGCGGUAAUACGGAGGGUGCAAGCGUUGUUCGGAUUUACUGGGCGUAAAGCGCGCGCAGGCGGACUGGCAAGUCAGAUGUGAAAUCUCGGGGCUUAACCCCGAAACUGCGUCUGAAACUGCUAGUCUAGAGUCUCACAGGGGGUAGGGGAAUUUCACGUGUAGGGGUAAAAUCCGUAGAGAUGUGAAGGAACACCGGUGGCGAAGGCGCCUACCUGGAUGAGUACUGACGCUGAGGCGCGAAAGCGUGGGGAGCAAACAGGAUUAGAUACCCUGGUAGUCCACGCCGUAAACGAUGAGUACUAGCUAUUAGAGGUAUUGACUCCUUUAGUGGCGCAGCUAACGCAUUAAGUACUCCGCCUGGGAAGUACGGUCGCAAGACUAAAACUCAAAGGAAUUGACGGGGGCCCGCACAAGCGGUGGAUUAUGUGGUUUAAUUCGAAACACGCGCAGAACCUUACCUAGGCUUGAAAUCCUACGAAUCCGACGUAAUUGUUGGAGUGCUCGCAAGAGAAUGUAGUGACAGGUGCUGCAUGGCUGUCGUCAGCUCGUGUUGUGAAAUGUUGGGUUAAGUCUCGCAAUGAGCGCAACCCCUAUCUUUAGUUGCCAGCAUUAAGUUGGCACUCUAGAGAGACUGCCCGGGUUAACCGGGAGGAAGGUGGGGAUGACGUCAAGUCCUCAUGGCCCUUAUGCCUAGGGCUACACACGUAAUACAAUGGUACAUACAAAGAGAAGCGAUCAGGUGACUGUCAGCAAAUCUCAAAAAGUGUAUCUCAGUCCGGAUUGGAGUCUGCAACUCGACUCCAUGAAGUUGGAAUCGCUAGUAAUCGCGGAUCAGCACGCCGCGGUGAAUACGUUCCCGGGCCUUGUACACACCGCCCGUCACACCAUGGGAGUUGUUUUCAUUUUAAGACGUGACUCUAACUUCGGAGGAGAGCGUCUACAGUGGGAGCGAUGACUGGGGUGAAGUCGGAACAAGGUA